RNAcentral lists this transfer RNA (71 nucleotides) under Rhinogobius niger. RNAcentral describes it as "tRNA-Ser". It matches the Rfam family "tRNA". Rfam says of the family: Transfer RNA (tRNA) molecules are approximately 80 nucleotides in length. Their secondary structure includes four short double-helical elements and three loops (D, anti-codon, and T loops). The record is from RNAcentral. Lineage: Eukaryota; Metazoa; Chordata; Actinopteri; Gobiiformes; Gobiidae.
AAGAAAGUGACAGAGUGGCUAUGUGGCUGGCUUGAAACCAGUUAAUGGGGGUUCAACUCCUCCCUUUCUCG